This 771-nucleotide ribosomal RNA is filed under the name uncultured bacterium. RNAcentral describes it as "bacterial SSU rRNA". It matches the Rfam family "Bacterial small subunit ribosomal RNA", at positions 8 to 796 of the family's 1533-position model. The record is from RNAcentral.
AGAGUUUGAUCAUGGCUCAGGACGAACGCUGGCGGCGUGCUUAACACAUGCAAGUCGAACGGAAAGGCCCUUCGGGGUACUCGAGUGGCGAACGGGUGAGUAACACGUGGGUGAUCUGCCCUGCACUUUGGGAUAAGCCUGGGAAACUGGGUCUAAUACCGAAUAUGACCAUGCACUUCCUGGUGUGUGGUGGAAAGCUUUUGCGGUGUGGGAUGGGCCCGCGGCCUAUCAGCUUGUUGGUGGGGUGAUGGCCUACCAAGGCGACGACGGGUAGCCGGCCUGAGAGGGUGACCGGCCACACUGGGACUGAGAUACGGCCCAGACUCCUACGGGAGGCAGCAGUGGGGAAUAUUGCACAAUGGGCGCAAGCCUGAUGCAGCGACGCCGCGUGAGGGAUGACGGCCUUCGGGUUGUAAACCUCUUUCAGCACAGACGAAGCGCAAGUGACGGUAUGUGCAGAAGAAGGACCGGCCAACUACGUGCCAGCAGCCGCGGUAAUACGUAGGGUCCGAGCGUUGUCCGGAAUUACUGGGCGUAAAGAGCUCGUAGGUGGUUUGUCGCGUUGUUCGUGAAAACUCACAGCUUAACUGUGGGCGUGCGGGCGAUACGGGCAGACUUGAGUACUGCAGGGGAGACUGGAAUUCCUGGUGUAGCGGUGGAAUGCGCAGAUAUCAGGAGGAACACCGGUGGCGAAGGCGGAUCUCUGGGCAGUAACUGACGCUGAGGAGCGAAAGCGUGGGGAGCGAACAGGAUUAGAUACCCUGGUAGUCC